GGAGUUCUACUCUUACAAUACCCACUGAGAUCCACGAUGGCUAACCACAAUGAAAACAAUCUUGUCAACACCCCUAAUGACCUGAGCUCCGCUCAGGAGGGACAACAGUUCUCUUUUUCCAGUCCCAUAACCCCAAACAACCAAACACCAAUUCCCUUCAACCCCUCACCAAGCUUGGCAGGGAACGUGCCUGGAGCUGCUCUAUCCAAC
RNAcentral lists this long non-coding RNA (210 nucleotides) under Manihot esculenta (cassava). Its description in RNAcentral is "long non-coding RNA (MESC_LNC001054)". Lineage: Eukaryota; Viridiplantae; Streptophyta; Magnoliopsida; Malpighiales; Euphorbiaceae. The record is from RNAcentral.